UACAGAGGUCUCAAGCGUUGUUCGGAUUCAUUGGGCGUAAAGGGUGCGUAGGUGGCGCUGUAAGUCGGGUGUGAAAUUUCGGAGCUUAACUCCGAAACUGCAUUCGAUACUGCCGUGCUUGAGGACUGGAGAGGAGACUGGAAUUUACGGUGUAGCAGUGAAAUGCGUUGAUAUCCUAAGGAACACCGGUGGCGAAAGCGGCUCACUGGAUCUCUUCUGACGCUGAGGCACGAAAGCUAGGGUAGCGAACGGG
RNAcentral lists this ribosomal RNA (253 nucleotides) under uncultured bacterium. RNAcentral describes it as "partial 16S ribosomal RNA". It matches the Rfam family "Bacterial small subunit ribosomal RNA", at positions 524 to 776 of the family's 1533-position model. The record is from RNAcentral.